GACGAACGCUGGCGGCGUGCUUAACACAUGCAAGUCGAACGGAAAGGCCCUGCUUUUGUGGGGUGCUCGAGUGGCGAACGGGUGAGUAACACGUGAGUAACCUGCCCUUCACUUUGGGAUAACUUCAGGAAACUGCGGCUAAUACCGGAUAGGAGCUCCUGCUGCAUGGUGGGGGUUGGACAGUUUCGGCGGUUGGGGAUGGACUCGCGGCUUAUCAGCUUGUUGGUGGGGUAGUGGCUUACCAAGGCUUUGACGGGUAGCCGGCCUGAGAGGGUGACCGGCCACAUGGGGACUGAGAUACGGCCCAGACGCCGACGUGAGGCAGCAGGGGGGAAUAUUGCACAAUGGGCGGAAGCCUGAUGCAGAAACGCCGCGUGCGGGAUGACGGCCUUCGGGUUGUAAACCGCUUUCGCCUGUGACGAAGCGUGAGUGACGGUAAUGGGUAAAGAAGCCCCGGCUAACUACGUG
This 468-nucleotide ribosomal RNA is filed under the name uncultured bacterium. RNAcentral describes it as "partial 16S ribosomal RNA". It matches the Rfam family "Bacterial small subunit ribosomal RNA", at positions 28 to 507 of the family's 1533-position model. The record is from RNAcentral.